CCUACGGGAGGCUGCAGUGAGGAAUAUUGGUCAAUGGUCGGGAGACUGAACCAGCCAAGCCGCGUGAGGGAUGAAGGUACAGAGUAUCGUAAACCUCUUUUGUCAGGGAACAAAGGCGGGGACGUUUCCCCGGAUGAGUGUACCUGAAGAAAAAGCAUCGGCUAACUCCGUGCCCGCCGCCGCGGUAAUACGGAGGAUGCGAGCGUUAUCCGGAUUUAUUGGGUUUAAAGGGUGCGCGGGCGGUCUGUUAAGUCAGCGGUCAAAGUCCGGGGCUCAACCCCGGCCCGCCGUUGAAACUGGCAGUCUCGAGUUGGAGAGAAGUAUGCGGAAUGCGCGGUGUAGCGGUGAAAUGCAUAGAUAUCGCGCAGAACUCCGAUUGCGAAGGCAGCAUGCCGGCUCCACACUGACGCUGAGGCACGAAAGCGUGGGUAUCGAACAGGAUUAGAUACCCGAGUAGUC
RNAcentral lists this ribosomal RNA (459 nucleotides) under uncultured bacterium. RNAcentral describes it as "partial 16S ribosomal RNA". It matches the Rfam family "Bacterial small subunit ribosomal RNA", at positions 338 to 795 of the family's 1533-position model. The record is from RNAcentral.